Molecule: non-coding RNA, 226 nt
Organism: Schizosaccharomyces pombe (fission yeast)
Lineage: Eukaryota; Fungi; Ascomycota; Schizosaccharomycetes; Schizosaccharomycetales; Schizosaccharomycetaceae
Source: the annotation of a GenBank genome assembly
UUAACACACUUGGGAUUUUUAAAAGUUAGAAAGCCAAAUCCCCUAGAACGGCCAGUAGUACUAUCACGCAUAACCGUACAAUCGAGGACCUCUCCGAACUGCUCGAAAUAAUCACGAAGGGAAUCUGUAAAUCAAACAUUAGCAUUAAACCAAUAAAUUUACUCCUAAUAGUCUAAAUAGCAUAUAUGUACUUAGCACCUGACAACAGAAAGAAUAAAGCUUAACG